This 254-nucleotide ribosomal RNA is filed under the name uncultured bacterium. RNAcentral's name for it is "partial 16S ribosomal RNA". It matches the Rfam family "Bacterial small subunit ribosomal RNA", at positions 524 to 776 of the family's 1533-position model. The record is from RNAcentral.
UACAGAGGUCCCAAGCGUUUGUUCGGAUUCACUGGGCGUAAAGGGUGCGUAGGUGGUCAGGUAAGUCGGAUGUGAAAUCUCCGAGCUCAACUCGGAAACUGCAUUGGAAACUACCUGGCUCGAGGGUUGGAGGGGGGACUGGAAUGCUUGGUGUAGCAGUGAAAUGCGUAGAUAUCAAGCGGAACACCAGUGGCGAAGGCGAGUCCCUGGACAACUCCUGACACUGAUGCACGAAAGCUAGGGGAGCAAACAGG